Molecule: ribosomal RNA, 1235 nt
Filed under: Lednia tumana
Lineage: Eukaryota; Metazoa; Arthropoda; Insecta; Plecoptera; Nemouridae
Description: bacterial LSU rRNA
Rfam family: Bacterial large subunit ribosomal RNA
Source: RNAcentral
UUACUGGUCUAGCAAUUCUGCGCCGAAAACUUACGGGACUAAGCAAUUUGCCGAAGCUGUGAGAUAUACAAUUUGUAUAUCGGUAGGGGAGCGUUCCAUUGUAGGUUGAAGUGUUAGCGAAAGCGGAUAUGGACGAAAUGGAAGUGAGAAUGUCGGAUUGAGUAGCGAAAACAUUGGUGAGAAUCCAAUGCUCCGAAACCCUAAGGUUUCCUCCGCAAGGCUCGUCCACGGAGGGUGAGUCAGGUCCUAAGGUGAGGCUGAAAAGCGUAGUUGAUGGAUAAUAGGUUAAUAUUCCUAUACUGAUUAUUACUGGUAUCGAGGGACGAAGAAGGCUAAACUAGCCGGAUAUUGGUUACCGGUUCAAGUAGUUAAGGUGUUGAAGAUUAGAGAAAAUAAUCUGAGCUGAGAUACGAGUACAAGAUUCUUAGAAAUCAAAGUAGUUGAUGUCAUACUUCCAAGAAAAGCUCGCAAUGCCAUAAGUAAUAAUCACCUGUACCUUAAACCGACACAGGUAGGGAGGUAGAAAAUACCAAGGAGCGCGGGAGAACCCUCCUUAAGGAACUCGGCAAAAUAGCCCCGUAACUUCGGGAGAAGGGGUGCCCACGCAAGUGGGUCGCAGUGAAGAGUCCCAGGCGACUGUUUACCAAAAACACAGGUCUCCGCAAAGUCGUAAGACGACGUAUGGGGGCUGACGCCUGCCCAGUGCCGGAAGGUUAAAGAAGUCGGUUAGCGUAAGCGAAGCUGGUAACUGAAGCCCCGGUGAACGGCGGCCGUAACUAUAACGGUCCUAAGGUAGCGAAAUUCCUUGUCGGGUAAGUUCCGACCCGCACGAAUGGCGUAACGAUGGCCACACUGUCUCCUCUCGGGACUCAGCGAAGUUGAAAUGUUUGUGAAGAUGCAAUCUACCCGCGGCUAGACGGAAAGACCCCAUGAACCUUUACUGUAGCUUUACAUUGGACUUUGACAAGAUUUGUGUAGGAUAGGUGGGAGACUAUGAAGCGGCGUCGCUAGAUGUCGUGGAGUCAACCUUGAAAUACCACCCUGAUGUUGUUGAGGUUCUAACCUAGGUCCAUAAUCUGGACUGGGGACCGUGUAUGGUGGGCAGUUUGACUGGGGCGGUCUCCUCCCAAAGCGUAACGGAGGAGUUCGAAGGUACGCUAAUUACGGUCGGACAUCGUGAUGAUAGUGCAAUGGCAUAAGCGUGCUUAACUGCGAGACUGACAAGUCGAGCAGAU